GCUUCUUUGGCUCAGUUGGUAGAGCGUUGGUCUCAUAGUCCAUCUAUGAUCGCUUAAGUAAGCGAGUAAUCCAAAGGUCGCAAGUUCGAGCCUUGCAAGGAGCA
Non-coding RNA from Clathrus columnatus, 104 nucleotides. Lineage: Eukaryota; Fungi; Basidiomycota; Agaricomycetes; Phallales; Clathraceae. The record is from the annotation of a GenBank genome assembly.